CUCUAUACAGUAGGAGCUCCGUUAGUGUCCGAUCAUUAUUCCCUACUCCUUUGCAGUUUGCAGUUGAUCCACUAGUGCCAAUUUGUACCGCGAGGAGAGUACUACGUCAGGCAAAAUUUGCUCAAAUUUCUCAGCUGUUCGAGAUACAAGUCUCCGUACAAGAGCGUGUCACGAAGCAUAUAGCGAGCGUUGUUGGUUGAACGGAUAAAUAAACGAAGAAAAAAAAGUUAGUAACACCGAGACGUUCGUAGCUUUGAGCAAAAACUGGUACUGGCCAAGGUGAAAGGAAUCUCGACUGACAUGGGAAAAACAGCUUCUCUACGUGCAGAUCAUUCUUAUUUUCUAUUACCAUGUACAGAUUGACAAAUGCAGCGAAAAUAAUGAGGAAAUAGCAAAUAAAGAUUUGAACGAAAGCUUAA
Long non-coding RNA from Venturia canescens, 419 nucleotides. RefSeq lists it as uncharacterized. The record is from RefSeq and is a predicted model, not a curated record. Lineage: Eukaryota; Metazoa; Arthropoda; Insecta; Hymenoptera; Ichneumonidae. The transcript is spliced from 2 exons.